RNAcentral lists this ribosomal RNA (1345 nucleotides) under uncultured bacterium. Its description in RNAcentral is "partial 16S ribosomal RNA". It matches the Rfam family "Bacterial small subunit ribosomal RNA", at positions 28 to 1381 of the family's 1533-position model. The record is from RNAcentral.
GACGAACGCUUGCGGCGUGCUUAACACAUGCAAGUCGAACGGAAAGGCCCUGCUUUUGUGGGGUGCUCGAGUGGCGAACGGGUGAGUAACACGUGAGUAACCUGCCCUUGACUUUGGGAUAACCUCAGGAAACUGGGGCUAAUACCGGAUAGGAGCUCCUGCUGCAUGGUGGGGGUUGGAAAGUUUCGGCGGUUGGGGAUGGACUCGCGGCUUAUCAGCUUGUUGGUGGGGUAGCGGCUUACCAAGGCUUUGACGGGUAGCCGGCCUGAGAGGGUGACCGGCCACAUUGGGACUGAGAUACGGCCCAGACUCCUACGGGAGGCAGCAGUGGGGAAUAUUGCACAAUGGGCGGAAGCCUGAUGCAGCAACGCCGCGUGCGGGAUGACGGCCUUCGGGUUGUAAACCGCUUUCGCCUGUGACGAAGCGUGAGUGACGGUAAUGGGUAAAGAAGCACCGGCUAACUACGUGCCAGCAGCCGCGGUGAUACGUAGGGUGCGAGCGUUGUCCGGAUUUAUUGGGCGUAAGGGCUCGUAGGUGGUUGAUCGCGUCGGAAGUGUAAUCUUGGGGCUUAACCCUGAGCGUGCUUUCGAUACGGGUUGACUUGAGGAAGGUAGGGGAGAAUGGAAUUCCUGGUGGAGCGGUGGAAUGCGCAGAUAUCAGGAGGAACACCAGUGGCGAAGGCGGUUCUCUGGGCCUUUCCUGACGCUGAGGAGCGAAAGCGUGGGGAGCGAACAGGCUUAGAUACCCUGGUAGUCCACGCUGUAAACGGUGGGUACUAGGUGUGGGGUCCAUUCCACGGGUUCCGUGCCGUAGUUAACGCUUUAAGUACCCCGCCUGGGGAGUACGGCCGCAAGGCUAAAGCUCAAAGGAAUUGACGGGGCCCCGCACAAGCGGCGGAGCAUGCGGAUUAAUUCGAUGCAACGCGUAGAACCUUACCUGGGUUUGACAUGGAUCGGGAGUGCUCAGAGAUGGGUGUGCCUCUUUUGGGGUCGGUUCACAGGUGGUGCAUGGCAGUCGUCAGCUCGUGUCGUGAGAUGUUGGGUUAAGUCCCGCAACGAGCGCAACCCUUGUUCACUGUUGCCAGCACGUUAUGGUGGGGACUCAGUGGAGACCGCCGGGGUCAACUCGGAGGAAGGUGGGGAUGACGUCAAGUCAUCAUGCCCCUUAUGUCCAGGGCUUCACGCAUGCUACAAUGGCUGGUACAGAGAGUGGCGAGCCUGUGAGGGUGAGCGAAUCUCGGAAAGCCGGUCUCAGUUCGGAUUGGGGUCUGCAACUCGACCUCAUGAAGUCGGAGUCGCUAGUAAUCGCAGAUCAGCAACGCUGCGGUGAAUACGUUCCCGGGGCU